GCACCCGUGGUGAAAUGGAUAUCAUGACUGUCUUCGGAACAGUUGUUGUGGGUUCGAAUCCUGCCGGGUGCACCA
RNAcentral lists this transfer RNA (75 nucleotides) under Candidatus Zambryskibacteria bacterium RIFCSPHIGHO2_01_FULL_43_27. RNAcentral's name for it is "tRNA-Arg". It matches the Rfam family "tRNA". From Rfam's summary of the family: Transfer RNA (tRNA) molecules are approximately 80 nucleotides in length. RNAcentral also lists the same sequence under 2 other names. The record is from RNAcentral. Lineage: Bacteria; Candidatus Zambryskiibacteriota.